RNAcentral lists this ribosomal RNA (761 nucleotides) under uncultured Peptostreptococcus sp. RNAcentral describes it as "bacterial SSU rRNA". It matches the Rfam family "Bacterial small subunit ribosomal RNA", at positions 28 to 776 of the family's 1533-position model. The record is from RNAcentral. Lineage: Bacteria; Bacillati; Bacillota; Clostridia; Peptostreptococcales; Peptostreptococcaceae.
GAUGAACGCUGGCGGCGUGCCUAACACAUGCAAGUCGAGCGAGGGUUUGCUCAGUAUUGAGUAUUCUAAAACUAGAAUGUUCAAUUCUGAGCAAAACCAAGCGGCGGACGGGUGAGUAACGCGUGGGUAACCUGCCCUAUACACAUGGAUAACAUACUGAAAAGUUUACUAAUACAUGAUAAUAUAUAUUGCGGCAUCGCAGAUAUAUCAAAGUGUUAGCGGUAUAGGAUGGACCCGCGUCUGAUUAGCUAGUUGGUGAGAUAACUGCCCACCAAGGCGACGAUCAGUAGCCGACCUGAGAGGGUGAUCGGCCACAUUGGAACUGAGACACGGUCCAAACUCCUACGGGAGGCAGCAGUGGGGAAUAUUGCACAAUGGGCGAAAGCCUGAUGCAGCAACGCCGCGUGAACGAUGAAGGUCUUCGGAUCGUAAAGUUCUGUUGCAGGGGAAGAUAAUGACGGUACCCUGUGAGGAAGCCCCGGCUAACUACGUGCCAGCAGCCGCGGUAAUACGUAGGGGGCUAGCGUUAUCCGGAUUUACUGGGCGUAAAGGGUGCGUAGGUGGUCCUUCAAGUCGGUGGUUAAAGGCUACGGCUCAACCGUAGUAGGCCGCCGAAACUGGAGGACUUGAGUGCAGGAGAGGAAAGUGGAAUUCCCAGUGUAGCGGUGAAAUGCGUAGAUAUUGGGAGGAACACCAGUAGCGAAGGCGGCUUUCUGGACUGCAACUGACACUGAGGCACGAAAGCGUGGGUAGCAAACAGG